This 253-nucleotide ribosomal RNA is filed under the name uncultured bacterium. RNAcentral's name for it is "partial 16S ribosomal RNA". It matches the Rfam family "Bacterial small subunit ribosomal RNA", at positions 524 to 776 of the family's 1533-position model. The record is from RNAcentral.
UACGUAGGGGGCGAGCGUUGUCCGGAAUCAUUGGGCGUAAAGAGCGUGUAGGCGGCUUGGUAAGUCUGGUGUGAAAUCUUGGGGCUCAACCCCAAGCCUGCACUGGAUACUGCCUCGCUAGAGUCCGGGAGGGGAGAUCGGAAUUCCUAGUGUAGCGGUGAAAUGCGCAGAUAUUAGGAAGAACACCGGUGGCGAAGGCGGAUCUCUGGAACGGUACUGACGCUGAGACGCGAAAGCGUGGGGAGCGAACAGG